UACGUAGGGUGCGAGCGUUGUCCGGAAUCAUUGGGCGUAAAGGGCUCGUAGGCGGUCCAUCGCGUCGGGAGUGAAACGCUGGGGCUUAACCCCAGUCCUGCUUUCGAUACGGGUGGACUAGAGGUAGGCAGGGGAGAAUGGAAUUCCUGGUGUAGCGGUGAAAUGCGCAGAUAUCAGGAGGAACACCGGUGGCGAAGGCGGUUCUCUGGGACGGUACUGACGCUGAGACGCGAAAGCGUGGGGAGCGAACAGG
This 253-nucleotide ribosomal RNA is filed under the name uncultured bacterium. RNAcentral's name for it is "partial 16S ribosomal RNA". It matches the Rfam family "Bacterial small subunit ribosomal RNA", at positions 524 to 776 of the family's 1533-position model. The record is from RNAcentral.